AAGCCCCGGCACCUCUUUGUGGUGCUUCUCCGAACUUGCAUUUCGGCGUGAUAUCACUGCGGCG
RNAcentral lists this transfer RNA (64 nucleotides) under Pachydactylus affinis. RNAcentral describes it as "tRNA-Cys". The record is from RNAcentral. Lineage: Eukaryota; Metazoa; Chordata; Lepidosauria; Squamata; Gekkonidae.